Molecule: long non-coding RNA, 437 nt
Organism: Paramisgurnus dabryanus
Lineage: Eukaryota; Metazoa; Chordata; Actinopteri; Cypriniformes; Cobitidae
Source: RefSeq, a predicted model, not a curated record
GCUUGAGAUCUUGGCAGAAGUUGUAGAGGAGCCAAAUCUUAGUGAUAUCAGAUCAUCACAAGCAAUAAGCCUUGAAGUUGAUGAGAGCACAGAUGUGUCGAUGUCCAGGCAGCUUGAUUUGCAUGUCUGAUACCUGGACAAAGAAGGACAUGUAUUUAAUCAGUUCUUGGACUUGGUCCCUAUUCCUGAUGGCAAAGCAGACACUAUUGUGACAGCCAUCAAGAACGUAAUGCUGAAGAAGGCUAUCCCAACUGAGAAACUGUAUGGACUGGGAACUGAUGGGGCAGCUGUUAUGACGGGACGUGUGAACGGUGUGGCAAAGCAACUUGCAGAGAGCUUUCCAAAGAUUGUAUCUGUUGCUUGUGCUGCCCACAGAUUAGCCCUUGCCUGCAAAGACUAAUCUAAUGAUGUAAAAUACAUGGCCACUUUCAGGGACC